GCAACGAUGAAGAACGCAGCGAAAUGCGAUACGUAGUGUGAAUUGCAGAAUUCCGCGAAUCAUCGAGUCUUUGAACGCAAGUUGCGCCCGAGGCUUGACCAAGGGCAUCUCUGCCAGAGCGUCACC
RNAcentral lists this ribosomal RNA (126 nucleotides) under Fissidens taxifolius. RNAcentral describes it as "partial 5.8S ribosomal RNA". It matches the Rfam family "5.8S ribosomal RNA", at positions 30 to 154 of the family's 154-position model. Rfam says of the family: 5.8S ribosomal RNA (5.8S rRNA) is a component of the large subunit of the eukaryotic ribosome. Lineage: Eukaryota; Viridiplantae; Streptophyta; Bryopsida; Dicranales; Fissidentaceae. The record is from RNAcentral.